Molecule: long non-coding RNA, 408 nt
Filed under: Mytilus galloprovincialis (Mediterranean mussel)
Lineage: Eukaryota; Metazoa; Mollusca; Bivalvia; Mytilida; Mytilidae
Source: RNAcentral
GGAACAUGUGUACUAAGUUUCAAGUUGAUUGGACUUCCGCUUCAUCAAAAACUACCUUGACCAAAAACUUUAACCUGAAGUGGGACGAACGGACGGACAGACGGACGGACGGACGGACGAUCGGACGAGCAGACGGAACGACGCACAGAUCAGAAAACAUAAUGCCCCUCUACUAUCGUAGGUGGGGCAUAAAAAACAUUUAAACAUAAAUAAAUGUACUACAGGUAAGCAAACAUUCAGUCAAGUUCUCAAGAAAAAAAGCCCAUCAUAAUUCUUUUUUGAAAAUGUAAAAAUAAAAUCUUACUAUAUAGAGUCAAAAUUUAUAAUAUAUAAGAUGUACAAUAUACAUGUAAUGUUGAUAAUUACGUAAACUGAUAUUUGUUAUAGCAGCACAAAUAAAUAACACAG